This 664-nucleotide ribosomal RNA is filed under the name Salmonella sp. Trautman ave_2007_10. RNAcentral's name for it is "bacterial SSU rRNA". It matches the Rfam family "Bacterial small subunit ribosomal RNA", at positions 57 to 714 of the family's 1533-position model. The record is from RNAcentral. Lineage: Bacteria; Pseudomonadati; Pseudomonadota; Gammaproteobacteria; Enterobacterales; Enterobacteriaceae.
GUAAUCCGCGCAGCAACACAUGCGAUCAACGUACGGACCAGCUGCUGCUUCGCUGACAUGGCGGACGGGUGAGUAUGUCUGGGAACUGCCUGAUGGAGGGGGAUACUACUGGGAAAACGUGGCUAAUACCGCAUAACGUCGCAAGACCAAAGAAGGGGGACCGUUCGGGCCCUCUUGCCAUCAGAUGUGCCCAGAUGGGAUUAGCUUGUUGGUGAGGUAACGGCUCACCAAGGCGACGAUCCCUAGCUGGUCUGAGAGGAUGACCAGCCACACUGGAACUGAGACACGGUCCAGACUCCUACGGGAGGCAGCAGUGGGGAAUAUUGCACAAUGGGCGCAAGCCUGAUGCAGCCAUGCCGCGUGUAUGAAGAAGGCCUUCGGGUUGUAAAGUACUUUCAGCGGGGAGGAAGGUGUUGUGGUUAAUAACCGCAGCAAUUGACGUUACCCGCAGAAGAAGCACCGGCUAACUCCGUGCCAGCAGCCGCGGUAAUACGGAGGGUGCAAGCGUUAAUCGGAAUUACUGGGCGUAAAGCGCACGCAGGCGGUCUGUCAGUCGGAUGUGAAAUCCCCGGCUCACCGGGGACUGCAUCGAACUGCAGCUGAUUUGUAAGGGGUAAUNAGUUACGUAUCUAAUGAGAUCGGCAGGCCGCAGCGCACGCCAAGU